GCAAUAUAUAAUGAUAUAUGCAUGAGAAUUCAACUGUAAAAAUGGAAGAACAAGACUCGGAAGAAGAACAAGGAUCUCCAUGUGGAUAUGAUUCAAAGUGUCAUCCAACAACUCUUCUAUUAGGUCAAUCAUAAUUGAUAAUGGUUCAUGUUCGAAUUUUAUUGAAUUUUUGUAUUUGUCUGAAUCAUGGCGUGAUGGUUAUAAGUAAAUCACAUGUAAUUCAUAUGUGAAUUACAUGUGAUUCACAUGUAAAUCACAUAAGAAUUACAUGUAAAUCACAUGUAAUUCACACAUGAUUCAUAUGUAAAUCACAUGUAUUUCACAUAUGACUUACGUGUGGUUCACAUGUAAAUCACAUGUAAUUCACAUAUGACUUACGUGUGGUUCACAUGUAAAUCACAAGUGAUUCACAUAUGAUUUACAUGUAAUUCAUAUAUGAUUCACUUGUGAUUCAACUGUAAAUCACAUAUGAAUUACAUGUGAUUCAAAUGUAAAUCACUAGUGAAUCACAUAUGAAUUACAUGUGAUUUACAUGUAUAUAAUAUCUAAUUCACAUAUGAAUUACACGUGAUUCACAUGUAAUUCAUAUAUGAUUCACAUAUAAAUUGCAUGUAAUUCACAUAUUAAUCACAUGUAAUUCACAUGUAAAUCACAAGUGAAUCACAUAUCAAUUACAUGUGAUUCACAUGUAAAUCACAAGUGAAUAACAUAUGAAUUACAUGUGAUUCACAUGUAAAUCACUAGUGAAUCACAUAUUGUCACACCCCCAAACCAGAACGGCGGAAACGUUUGGGGGCGGAGGACGUCAUAUUCAGUAUCAUAACAGUUCAUAGAAAGGAAAGUACGCACCACCAUACAUAUAUAUAAAGGUUUUAAAAAUGUUUACAUAAUUGUAUUCGUUACAUGUUCAAAAGAUAAAUACAUAAACAUCUUUCAAAAGAAGUAAUUAAUGCCAGCGCGUUAAUCCCAAAAGUUGAUUUCCAAACCUGCUUAGCGGUUCCCUGAGAAUACAAGUUAUUUCAAAGAGAAAAUGUCAACAAUUAAGUUGGUGAGUUCAUAAGUGGUUUAGAAAAAUUGUAUGCCAUUCCAAAUUGAGUGUAUGUUUUCCAAGAAGAUCCCUUAUUUUCUUAUAAAAGUAUGAAAUACAUGAGAAUAUUUGUAUUGGAUAAUGUAGAUAGUUGAAUCAAGAAAAUCCCUUAUUUUCCUACUAGUUGUUUGUUUGAAUACAGGAAAAUCCCAUAUUUUCCUAAAGUAAUAGUUAGCCUAAUGUCCCAGACUAAAAACUGAAAGCAAAUGACAUGCUUUAGAAGGUUGAGGCAUAGAUAAUAAAACCUAUUAGAAGAUUUCAGUUUGUUAGAUGAAGAAUAGUUUUAAUAGCUACUCAUUCAUCAAUCAGAAGUACUAUAAUAAUUGUAUAUCCGAUGAGUUUUAUAACCAUACUAAACAUAAUAUGCCUGUAGCGACGUUCUUCAGGCGUCGUAGCGUUAUGACAAACUGUCACCCCAAAGGACGGACUGUAGCUAACAGUCAGGGCGCGGGAUCAUGACUUCCCGUAUAGAUCUAUACACAUUUGACACGUUCUCCGAACGGGAGACUCUGGUUAUAGACAGGACUUGUAGCGGUACCUUUUAGCAAAAAGGUAUUAUUUGAAGAUAUACACGUCUCACGGAUUCUCAACUAAGUCUGUAUUAAAGUAGUAGUUUUGUAUGCAAAGUUUAUCCUUUUUCACAAUGUUUGACAAAGCAUAAAUCAUAAGUUCUUUGAAUGCAUAAAAUGAUUUAGUAAAGAAUGUUACCCUUGAUAUGAUGUAUUUGUAUGUAAACGUAUAAAUAAAACAUUAUUUCUAUUUAUAAAACAUAUUGUAUCCCAAGAGGGUAAAGCUGUGUUGUGAGGUGUUUUGCAUGAUGAUGACUUCAUAAGAUAGUUAAAACAACAGUAUGAAAAGUAUAGCAAAAGAUCGAUGUUUCACACGAUUUUAGUCGUGUGUUUACUUGUAUUCCCCCCUUAAAAGUGUUUAAAAAGCAUUUAAAAAGCAUUUAAAGUGUGGUUGUAGGGGUAUGAACUCACCUGAAGGUUUGAAGAAAGCGAGAUGGAAACCGGGCAGAAUUUCGUCUCGGGAAAACUGAUUUUCUCGGGAUUCUCAGGAAUCUCGGGAGUGCAAGCGAUCUUCGGGACUUGAGCAAAAUGACCAGGGCUUCGGGUUAGCACGGGCACGGAAAACGAGGCGAGAAUGCAAAAGAAAUGAGAGAAAUGGAGCCCUUUCUUCGGAACCCUCGCAUCCCUUUUAUAGGGGCUGGGAACCGCCUCGGUACGCGGGGCGUACGCGUACGUCAUGCAUGACCGAGUCCUCGACUGCCUCGGAUUUCGGAUGGGACAAGGGGUAGCUUCGCAUAGGUCGGGACGUGGACGAUCCGAGGCCUAGGCCUUGAGUACGCGGGGCGUACGAGGGUACGCAGGGCGUACUUCGGCCCUAUCUGCUGACUCCCUUCGGAUAAUACCAAAAAUUUAUAAUUAAAUUUAUAUUUAAUUUAAUUAAUAAACUUCUAAAAUUCAUAUCUUCUUCAUACGAAUUCCGUUUUCGAUGGUCUUUAUAUCCACGCGUAGGUGAGACUACGCUCUACAACUUUCGUUUAGAUUCCGUCGGCAAAUUUUGAAAUUUUUUUUAUUAUUUAUUUUUAAAAGGUCGUGUUUAAGGAAUUUCUUUAGAAAUUCAUAACUUCUUUAUCUGACGUCGGUUUUUGCCAGACUUUUUACCGCUGAAUUACCAUUGUCGUGACCUUCGAUUCUCGUUUAGGUCAUUCCGGCCAAAAGUUGCUCGAUCUCCGAUUCGAGUUUUUAGCUGUCUGCUUCUAAGCCGAACUUGGAAAAAUCAUAACUUCGAUAUACGAAGUCGGAUUUGGGCGCUCUUUUUACAUACGAUCACGGUUUAAUGACAUCUAUCAUAGGAGGUAAUUAAAUAGAAACUUUUUGGACAUUUUAUUUUCGAAGUUAAUUUCAUUAUCACAAAAGUGGUUACAAUAAUUGACUUUUUAGGUCAUUACAUAGAGUUGAAAUAUCGGGUUGUCACACAUAUGAAUUACGUCAAUAUGCACACAUGCAUUUUGUGUGAGUGGUCUUUGUUAAUUAUUUAUUUUUUUAAUUUUCUUAUGAAUUUCACAUUUGAAUCUUAAAAGAUACAAUCACAUGUGAAUAUCACAUUAUAUAAUCACAUUUGAAUCUUACAUAAUAUAUUAACAUGUGAAUCUUACAUGAUAUAUACUUGUGCAUUUUUCUGAGUGUUCUUGCAUUAAUCAUUUUUUUUUUAAAUUUUCUUGUAGGUUUUGAAGAAUUUGUUGAAAAUAUUGAAGAGGUGAAAAGUGAUAAAUUGAAGAAAAUAUGGAAAUCUUGAUAUGAAGAAAUGAUAACACUGUGAAUCUUUAUAGUUUUUUAUAUUUUAUUUUGUAUC
Molecule: long non-coding RNA, 3445 nt
Filed under: Lactuca sativa (garden lettuce)
Lineage: Eukaryota; Viridiplantae; Streptophyta; Magnoliopsida; Asterales; Asteraceae
Description: long non-coding RNA (LSAT_LNC007875)
Source: RNAcentral